RNAcentral lists this long non-coding RNA (572 nucleotides) under Mytilus galloprovincialis (Mediterranean mussel). The record is from RNAcentral. Lineage: Eukaryota; Metazoa; Mollusca; Bivalvia; Mytilida; Mytilidae.
GUCAUACUUUCCUAAACAUUUGACAGUUCAAAUCCCCUUGUAAACUGUUGAACAUAACAUACAGUAUCACAGGAACUAUAGAACUGAUAUCUACUUAAGAGUUACUUCUCUUACUAUUUAAAUGCAUGGUCACUAUUCAUAUUAUCUUGUAGGAAUUAAUUAAAAUAAAUAAAUGAAUGUGAAAGUAAGAUUUAAUGAUGGCUGGAGGGUGCAUAUUUACAUGAGCAUAAAACACUGCAAACAUUAAAUUGUAAAAUGAAAAUUGAAAAAUUGAAAAUAACUAGUUGUGCAGUAAUUUAACAUCAUUAGAUUUUAAAAAAACCCUUUCAAAAAACAAGUGUUUAUGAGAAUUAAAAUUAUUAACUGUAUUCUCAAUUAAAUUUCAGAAUUUUAAAGACAAGUAAAUAUAUUUGAUUUUAAGUUGCAAGGAAUCGUCAGGAAGGGAGAUAACUCACAAAAGGAUAACACAUAUUGUAUGUAUCUGAUUACAUUGAUAAAAAAAACCAAACGUAAUAAUGACCUAUAUUUAAUGAAACAUUAUCAUUUUGAAAAAAAGAAGAAACCUGAAGGAG